This 728-nucleotide long non-coding RNA is filed under the name Anas platyrhynchos platyrhynchos (common mallard). RNAcentral's name for it is "lncRNA (ENSAPLG00000023040.1)". The record is from RNAcentral. Lineage: Eukaryota; Metazoa; Chordata; Aves; Anseriformes; Anatidae.
AUUACAGGUUACUAUAUACUGUGUAAAGAUGUAGUGCUUUCCUGGACUUUAAUGCCCUAUUUGCUGAUGUUCUUUUUCUGGAAAAGUUUGUGCACUUAAAGGAUGAUUUUUUUGGUGUCUUUAUAGUGGAUGUCAUCUGUGGUGCCAGGAGCCUGUCUGAUGGGGACUUCAUUGGCAGUAAGCCUCCUCUCCUUGCAAUGGGCUGACAGGUUACUGCUUGCAUAUGUGGAUGUCCAGAGCUCCAGCACACACGGAUACUCAAAGGUUUGCUCAAUGACUUGGAAAGCAGUUCAGCAGGCAGUACCACUGAAAUGGCAGCUUCUGUUGGUGGAAGAUGACACAGGAGAUAAGGAAGAGAAGAGAAAGGAGCAGGCUGAGGAAGAGAAAUUAUUCAUGAUUGAAGAUGGGGAGAAGAAACAAACAGCACAUGCUGAAUGCUGGGGAGACAAUACUCAGACCAUGGCAUUCGCUAGCUGAUGCAAGAACAGAUCCAAAUUGAAGUGCAUGGAGAUCUACGGACAAUAACCUUUUCAUCAAACAUGAAGAGCUGCAUGUCUUUUUGCUUCAAAUAGUCUUAUCCUUAGGCAAUGGUAAGUAGAAAAAUGUGUUUCUGCCUUGAAAAUCUUAUCACCUUGCUUUCAGAUUCUUCACUUCUCUUGUAUCUCUGUGCAUCCUUUGUUGACUGGGCAUGUACUGUAACAACAUUAUUUAUGUUAAGUACAGGAAAG